AAAGGCUUUUUUGUAUUUAAUUUAAAUAAAUAGAGAAAUUAUAUGGGGAAUCUAGUGAGAAUCUAGAGCUGUACCGCAACUGUGUUGGGAGCAGUAUUAUCAGUAUCCUCUCGCAAAGGGAUAAUAUUGCAUAGAUCUUAGUCAGGGCGCCAUUUUUAUGUUCAUAAUUUGC
Molecule: non-coding RNA, 172 nt
Organism: Megamonas hypermegale ART12/1
Lineage: Bacteria; Bacillati; Bacillota; Negativicutes; Selenomonadales; Selenomonadaceae
Source: Rfam